Athene cunicularia (burrowing owl) is the source of this 818-nucleotide long non-coding RNA. RefSeq lists it as uncharacterized. NCBI's taxonomy places the organism in Eukaryota, Metazoa, Chordata, Aves, Strigiformes, Strigidae. The record is from RefSeq and is a predicted model, not a curated record. The transcript is spliced from 5 exons.
GAAGACCUAACACAACAUUAUUACAGAAGCAUACAGUGCUCCAGUGAACAAAUGCCUCGCACUCUAAGUGAUGUCCUACCUGUGUGCAGGCGUGCAGACCCCAGCCUUUACCUCCUGGAGGUCGCCACAGAGAAAUUUUCAUGUCGUACAGAUGUGGAACAGCUGAGAACUCAUUUCCUGACUCCAGGAUCAUUACAUAGAUGGUCCUGGAAAAUCCCAUCUUUUCCACUUAACUUAAAAGAACGUAGAAGAACAGAAGAAUGUAAUCAGUAAUUAUAACGUCUCAUUCUGUGCAAUGGAAGCACCAGCAAUUUAUUACGUGGAGAGGACCGGACCAGACGGAUCAUCAGCUCCUGUCAUUCAGUACGUCAGCUACAGAUGGCCAGAGACUUUCAGAAGAUGUGUAAUGGCACUAGCCCGAACAAACUUCACUCUAGACAGACUGCUAUGGGAGAGCUUGCAUGGAUGAAAUUGUAGAGAGGACCAGCUACCAAUUUUGUCAACUUCUGUCAUGUAGACCACAAGAGAGCUGUGAUUUUUUUCUUACCAGCACAUCAGCAUUUUCACUAUUGGACUGUCUUGUGCUCUACAAAUUCCACAGGCCAUAAAGUCUUUCCUCUUCCUCGUGCUUAGAAGAGGAACUGUUGAGUGGCCCUUUGCUAACCAUGUCACCAAGAAGGUGGCCAUGAACAGGACCUUCUUCCAAUUUCUCAACUAUUACUCCCACCUGUUUUACCUGUGUUUGCCUUGGGUUUGGUUAGGGUGAACUAACAGCUUGGUAAGUGAUCUAGAAAUGUUCGUGUUAUUGCCAAUCUUAA